GGCAUUGUAGCUCAGUGGUAGAGCACUUGCCUAGCAUGGGCAAGAUCCUGGGUUUGAUCCCCAGCAACACCA
RNAcentral lists this transfer RNA (72 nucleotides) under Fukomys damarensis (Damara mole-rat). It matches the Rfam family "tRNA". Rfam says of the family: Transfer RNA (tRNA) molecules are approximately 80 nucleotides in length. Lineage: Eukaryota; Metazoa; Chordata; Mammalia; Rodentia; Bathyergidae. The record is from Rfam by way of RNAcentral.